AAUAUUUUUUUUUCUUCUAAUUUUUGUUCUCCUCCGUUGCUAAAGCUGGUGGUGUGGUGUGGUAAUCUUCUAAACCCCGACGAGUAUAUGAUCUUGUUUUCAACCGAUCGUCGGCUAGGGUUUUUCUGAAGCGAAUCAUAUGAGACUAUGAUGAUCCGAUCAUCGCUCGUUGUGAAUUCUUCCCUAGGGUUUGGGUCGCUCUCAAUUCCAUCGGUAGGGUUUGGGUCCCUCUCAAUUCCAUCGGAGGAGGAUUCGCUACGGUCGAUCGGUGAUGGCUUUGAUCGGUCUGAUGAUGAUGCAGGUCCUCGUUUAAGGAUUGCUCUGUUAAAAUCUUAUGAUUCUGAUAUCGUGUGUUACAUCUUCUAGUCUCUUUAGGUGAUAUGCUUACUUCUGAGAGCUCCUCUGUUGCACUAGGCUGGACGUACAUGUGAGGUUUUGGAUGUGUGCUUUUAUUGAUCAGUUAUGGCUUUGAUGGACACGCUUCACUUCUUCUCUGUGCAACGUCUUCGUUGGUUUUUUGGAAGGGAAUUAUGAUCUGAUCAUCACGUAUUUUUCUCCAUAAUACAUCUUCAGGCCUUCGCACGGGUUCCUUGCUCGCUCUAACUUUAGGUUUGUGAAGGAUCCUACCAUUGAUCGGUUUUGAAGGAUGCUUUUAUCGAUGAGAGUCAUGGCUUUGAUGGACAUGCCUCUUCUCUGUUCUACGUCUUCAGGGUGAUUUGGAAGCGAAUUAUGAUCAUUGCAUAAUCUUCUCGAGGCUACGUUUCAAAGCUUUCUCACAGAUUUGUGGAGGAGAAUCCUACAAUUGGUUGGUGAUGGCUUUGACUGAUCGUUGUCACUCUAAUUCAUGUUAUUUUUCUAAGGUUUGGAUGAUGUUCUUAUUGAUGAGAGUGAUGACUUUGGUGGAAAUGCUUCUUGUCAGUGCUACGUCUUCAGAGGUGUUUUGGAAGCUAAGUAUGAUAUGAUCGGGUCAUUGCAUAUUAUUGUCCAAAUUUGUGGAGGAGGAUUCUUCGAUUGAUCGGUGCUGGCUUUGACUGAUCGUUAUCACCUGAAUUGAUGUUAUAUGGUCCAUCGGUGAUUGUGGAGGAGUAUAGUAUACUAAGAAAAUCUAUCGGUCAUAGGUUUGAUUGAUCCUUGUCACUCGUUUUCUCUGUUUGGAUUUUUUUUUUUUUCGUAAUUGAUAUCUUUCAUUCAGGUAUUUCCUCCUCUCUUUUCCCUUUGCUGUAUGCCAUCAAUCUAAUUGUUUUCAUUAACUGGAUUUUUAAUUUCGGCUUCCUCAGUUUUGGACUAUGCCAUCAGGGAGUUUUCAACAUCAUCGGUUGCUUUUUUUAUAUAAAAUAUGUUCGUGCGAUUCACCUCUUAUCUCUUGUUAUUUCAGGUUUUGGAUCAGUUAUGGCUUUGAUGGCUUCGACUGUUCGUUGUCACUCUAGUUCAUGUUAUUCUUCUAAGGUUUGGUUUCUAAACUGCAUCGGUUGCGUGUUUCUUAUGAAUAUGUUAUGUUAUUUCAGGUUUGGAUAAUGCUUUUGUUGAUGAGAGUGAUGGCUUUGAUGGAAACGCUUCUUCUCUGUGCUACGUCUUCAGGGUGUUUUGGAAGCAAUUAUGAUCGGAUCAUUGUAUAUUCCUCUCCAGGCUACGUUUUCAGGAUUUCUCACGAUUUGUGGAGGAGGAUCCUACGAUUGAUCGGUGAUGGAUUUGACUGAUAGUUGUCGCUCUAGUUCAUGUUAUUCUUCUAAGGUUUUGAAUGAUGCUUUUUAACGAUGAGAGUCAUGGCUUUGAUGGACACACCUCUUCUUGGCUCGCAGUCUUCAGGGAUGUUUUGGAAGCGAAUUAUGAUCAGACUCAAUCAUUGCAUAAUCUUCUCGAGGCAACAUUUCCGGCUUUCUCAGGGAUUUGUGAAGGAGGAUCCUACAAUUGGUCGGUGGUGAUUGCUUUGAUGGAAACGGUUCUUCUCUGUGCUAUGUCUUCAGAGGUGUUUUGGAAGCAAUUAUGAUCGGGUCAUUGCAUAUUCUUCUCCAAUUUUAUGAAUUUAUUUAUGUGGUUUACUUGUCAUUCUGUUAUUUCAGGUUUUUGGAUGAUUAUUUCAUAGUCUUGCAGUCAUUCUGUUAUUUCAGGUUUUUGGAUGAUGUUUUUAUCGAUGAGAGUGAUGUCUCAAGGAGACAUGGACACGCUUCGCUUCUUCUUUGUGCUAACGUAUUCAAAGGUUUUUUGGAAGGGAAUUCUGAUGUGAUCAUCACGUGUAUUUCUCCAUAAUACAUCUUCAGGCCUUCGCACGGUUUAGGUUCGUGAAGGGUCCUACGAUUGACGGUGAUGGCUUGACUGAUCGUUGUGACUCUAAUUCAUGUUAUAUGAUCCAUCGGUGACUGUGGAGGAGUAUACUAAGAAGAUCCAUCGGUCAUAGAUCGUGGAGGCAAUGGGAUUGCUCUGUUGAAUCUUUCUUCUCUGCCUUUUUCUUCUGGUUUCUUCUGAUUUCUCAAGAGAUUUUCUGCAUGAAUCACUCCUCUCUAUUUCUCUCUGUUUCUCUGCUGAUGUCUGUCUGCACAUAUAUUCAUAUGAAAGGUGGUCUUAAGUUCCUUUCAAAACGACUUUGUUCAUAUACUUUGUCCUUACAAUGAGGUUCUACAAGAGAAAAGCGUCAGGUAUAUUGAGCUUGGAAGAUGCCUUUGAUCUUGUGGUUCCAAGUUUACACUUUGACAUCCUCUGAUGUAAAAAAGCUCGACAUAUGGUUUAGUCAGGCAUAUUUUUCUACUUUAGGUUUUGGAUGAUGCUUUUAUCGCUUCGUCUCUGUGCAGCUAACGUCUUCAAGGGUGUUGUGGAAGCGAAUUAUGAUCAGAUCAUUGCGCAAUUUUCUCUAGGCUACGUCUACAUCUUCAAGCCUUCUCACGGGUUCCUUGCUCUAAACUUGGUUCAGAUUUGUGGAGGAGGUUGCUAUGAUUGAUCGGUGAUGGCUUUGACUGAUCGUUGUCAUUCUAAUUCAUGUUCUUCGUCUAGGGUUUUUGGAUGAUGCUUUUAUCUAUGAGAGUGAUGGCUCAAGGACACGCUUCGUUUCUUCUCUGUGCUAACGUCUUCAAGGGUGUUUUUGAAGCGAAUUAUGAUAUGAUCGAUCAGUACAUAUUCUUCUCUCACGGUUUCCUUUCUCUAAACACAUCUAUUUUGCUUCUAAUAACAUAUUACUUACUUGUCGAUCGGUUUUUGUUUUGUUGGUUCACAUUUGUGGAGGAGGAUCCUACCAUCGUCACUCUAAUUCAGGUUGUGGAGGAUCGGUCGGUGAUGCUUUUGAUGGAUCCUUUUUGUUUACUGUGCCCUACAACUUCAGAUCGUCGGGGCACCGAGAUUACUGUGUGGGAACAUCAGAAGAUAAACAUUGUCGGAGUGCGUAUAAUUUCUGAGUUCAACUUUCAGAUGUUUAAAUAUUAAUAUGAGAAAUGAUCACAAAUUCUUCGUUAGACGAGUUUGUUCUUUAACUGUGUCCUUUUUUAACUAGCAAAAGGCUGGACAUGUGAAAGAUAUUCAGGUUUUGGAUGAUGCUUCGUUCUUUGUGCUAACACGUUUUCAGGGGUUUUGUUCUUCCUCUUAACACUUCUUCUUUUACUCUCUGUUUUUUUGUUCCUUACUUCUUCGACUUGCAGGUGUUUUGGAAGCUAAGUAUGUUCGGAUCAUUGCAUCUCUAUUUACUUUCUGAAUUUUCACUAUCGAUAGGUUGCUUUUUUCUUCUAAUUACAUGUUACUUGUCGUUUUUUGUUUUGUUGGUUUAGGUGUGUUGAGGAUCCUAUGAUUGAUCCUUGUCACUCUAAGUUUGUGGAAGAUACUACGGUUGAUCGGUGAUGGCUUUGAUGGACACGCUUCUUCUCUUUGCUACGUCUUUAGGGUGUUUGGAAGCUAAUUAUAAUCGAAAUUAUAAUCGAAUCCUCACGUAUUCAUCUCCAUGCUAUGUCUUAAGGCCUUCUCAAUGCAUCUCUUUUUGAAUCUUAAAAUUCAAUUCAGUUCUGUGGUUUCUUCUUCUAGUUACAUGUUACUUACUUGUCCUCUGACUUUUGUUAUAGAAACUUGAGGUUACUAACUGGUGUCUUAGGUCUGCUAUGAAUAUUUUGUGUUCUUAGUGUAUCUAUUUAAUCUCUCUUUUAAAAAAAAAAAAUUUGAAGUCUCUUAGGUGGUACGCUUAAGUCUGACUUUAUGGUCUAUUCAUGUUAUUGUUCUCUUUCUCUUUGGGAUAUGUCAGCUAUCUCUUUGUUUUUGUAAACUAGAUUUUGAAUUUUGGCUUCCUGAUUUUUGGACUGUGCCACUGGGCAGUCUUUAACAUCAUUUGGACUUGUUUUUAUUAGUUGAUGAUCUUCUUAGUGAUAAUUACAUGUUAUUUUCAUGUCGUUUUUGUUUUGUUGGUUUAGGUUUGUGGUGGAGGAUCCUACGAUUGAUCGGUGAUGGCUUUGACUGAUCGUUGUCACUCUAAUUCAUGUUAUUCUUCUAAGGUUUUGAAUGAUGCUUUUAUCAGUGAGAGUCAUGGCUUUGAUGGACAUGUCUCUUCUCUGUGCUACGUGUUCAGGGUAUGCUAAGUCUGAGCUCCUCUGAUGCACAAGGCUGGACAUGUGGUUUAUUCAGGUUCUUUGUAGUUGAUGAUCUUCUUAGUGAAAGGGCAUUUAUGCCUAAGACCCUAUCAUUUGUUAUUGAUAGUCGAGGUUCUAUCAGAGUGAAUCAUCAGGUAACUAACUGGUCACUUUCCCUAUAUGGUUUUUCAUGUUACAUCUAUUUCUAGUGUUUGAUCCUACUUUCAUAUGCUUGUGAUUGUUGUUUUUCUUAUGUGAAUUUCUCCCUUCUUUGUUAUUUCUAUGUUACCUCCUUGGUGGUUUUUGUUAUGUGAAGUUCUCCCUUCUUGGUUAUUUCUAUGUUAUUUCUUAUGUGAAGUGCUCCCUUCUUUGUUAUUUCUGAUUUCAUGAUCUGCAUUUUUCUAUGGUUUAUAUGCUAAUCACUUUUGUUUGGGAUGGUGUUUUCUAUGUCUACGUGAAUUCAUUAUCUGCGUAUAGAAAUUUUGAUGAUGCAAAUAGAAGUUCUGUUUGUUUUCUUAAUUCCUAUGGUUGAUUAAGGUGUCAUGAGCUUCUUUUUCUGCUGUGUGGUUGUUAGUUGUUACACCUCUUUCUUUUUUUGAAUUACUUCUGAUUGUUAUAGUUUACUGGGUAGUCACGAGAAAUAAGCUUUGGGUUCCUCACUGGUUGCAUAAAGGAUUGAUCUCAAUUGGUAUGUUUCCUUUUUGUUAUUAUAUCUCCUCUGUAUGUCUUAUUGUAUGUUCCAGUAUUUCUUCAUUAAUCACUAUACUCUGAUCCUAUGCAGUCUAGCCGUAAUCAGAUGAAAGAUAAUCAUAACUUCCUUUUAAAUGGGUUUGUACUUAUUUUCUGUCCUUUUCAUGAUGGGUCUACCAAAGUAGUUUUUGCAUUGAACAACCUCAAGUAUGAGCUUCUCUAAGCAGAAAGCUAGACAUGUUGUUAUAACAAUAAGGUAAUUGUUCAUCUUUCUUUUUUGGAUCUUCUGCAAUAUGUUGAUUCAUACUUCCUGAAUUUUGAAGUGUGUUUAGCCUCAUGAGUUUUUAACUAUGAGUCUAUGACAGUGGGGAGUUUCACAUGAUUGGAACUUGUCAUUGGAUGUCUCCCGUCAACAGUAUAAUGUUCCUGAUCUACCUAGUGUUAUUCGCAUUUCUUCUUAUGCCUGAUUUUUUUGUUAAGUCUUUUAACAUAGAUAUUUCAGGUCACUACUUGGUCUCUUCCUUGUUUAUCCAUUUGUGAUGGUAGCUUUUCUAUUUAUGAAUUACUUCCCUUCAUUAUAGGUAUGUUGAGGAUGUGAAGGAGCCAGACUCCCUUUUUGAUUUUUUGGCAUUGAAGAUUGAGAUUUUGAUUGCAGUAUUUUUAUGCCUUUUUCUGUAUUGGUUUUACCACUAUAUGGUCUUGUGUUGGUGAGUUGUAUUGCUGCUCAGUAUUCUCUUCAGUUUGUUAAUUUGAUGUCAUCGUUUAUUUGAUUAUGUAAGCGAUUCUUGCUGGUAGUGUGACCUCAUGGGGGCAGGCUCAUAGAAGGUGAAGAGCGUCUGACUUAUGAGGUUUCUUGCUUCCUGGGUUGUGGUUGGUUUUAAUGGUUCUGUAGACAUUCUUGCUUGAUUUUUUGUUUGGGUGAUGCAUUAUGUUGUUGGAUUUCAGGGGAGGCUUAAUUUUAUAGAUAGACUUCUUACGAAUGUUCUCAGGUAGUCAGUGAAAAUUGAAAACAUCACCUUUACAUCUGGUGAAGAGGUUGAUUAAGCAAUUUGUUGGAUUGUUACCUCCAAACAUCACCUUCCUUGGACUUAUUCGCUUGCAGGUCAAAGCUUUCAGUCUGACACGUUAAGUAACCUCCAUUAUGGUUACUUUGAUUCUGAUUCUACCACAGAAGUGGCUUGAUCAUUUAUGAGACCUUCGGUGUGUGUUGCUUGUACUUGGCUCUACAAUUGCGCAAAUGAUGUUUUCUCAACUUCUUAUUGCUGGGAACAUAGAGGACCAGUUUCUGAAGUUCUCAUGGGAAGAAGCACCGUGACUGGACUGUAGUAGAGACUGAAAAUUAUUGGAGUUUGUAAAUAGUGUUUUUUUUUCAGUUAUGUGAAUUAGUAGGAAUGAGUAGUACACACAUGAGAAGUAUAUAUCCGUUGGUCAGCAUUAUGAAGAACUGUUUCAUUCUUACCUAGGCCAUUUAUGAAGAACCAUUUGAUUCUU
Camelina sativa (false flax) is the source of this 6716-nucleotide non-coding RNA. NCBI's taxonomy places the organism in Eukaryota, Viridiplantae, Streptophyta, Magnoliopsida, Brassicales, Brassicaceae. The record is from RefSeq and is a predicted model, not a curated record.